UUUCCGUAGGUGAACCUGCGGAAGGAUCAUUAUUGUAUAACAAAGGUGCGAGGCCUGUUGCUGACCCGAAAGGUCGUGGAAGCCUGAAUGCCCUUACUUACCUCCCCUUUUCCUCUAUGUGUACGACCGCGCGGCUUCCCACUUGGCUCGUUCGGAGGGGGGUUUACGUUUUCAUCGAUACUUUUAUUGCAGUGUAGAAUGUAUAUUUUGUUUUUGCGUUCUCGCAACCAAUACAACUUUCAACUACGGUCCUCUUGGCUCUCGCAUCGACGACGAACG
Molecule: unclassified non-coding RNA, 279 nt
Filed under: plant metagenome
Description: partial contains small subunit ribosomal RNA, internal transcribed spacer 1, and 5.8S ribosomal RNA
Source: RNAcentral